This 73-nucleotide transfer RNA is filed under the name Camelus bactrianus (Bactrian camel). It matches the Rfam family "tRNA". From Rfam's summary of the family: Transfer RNA (tRNA) molecules are approximately 80 nucleotides in length. Their secondary structure includes four short double-helical elements and three loops (D, anti-codon, and T loops). The record is from Rfam by way of RNAcentral. RNAcentral also lists the same sequence under 2 other names. Lineage: Eukaryota; Metazoa; Chordata; Mammalia; Artiodactyla; Camelidae.
GAGGGUAUAGCUCAAGUGGUAGAGCGCAUGCUUAGCAUGUGUGAGGUCCUGGGCUCAGUUCCCAGAACCUCCA